UACGUAGGUGGCAAGCGUUGUCCGGAUUUAUUGGGUUUAAAGGGUGCGUAGGCGGUCUAUUAAGUCAGUGCUGAAAUACUCCAGCUUAACUGGAGGGGUGGCAUUGAUACUGAUGGACUUGAGUACAGAUGAGGUAGGCGGAAUUGACGGUGUAGCGGUGAAAUGCAUAGAUAUCGUCAAGAACACCGAUAGCGAAGGCAGCUUACUGGGCUGUAACUGACGCUGAUGCACGAAAGUAUGGGGGAUCAAACAGG
RNAcentral lists this ribosomal RNA (254 nucleotides) under uncultured bacterium. RNAcentral describes it as "partial 16S ribosomal RNA". It matches the Rfam family "Bacterial small subunit ribosomal RNA", at positions 524 to 776 of the family's 1533-position model. The record is from RNAcentral.